RNAcentral lists this unclassified non-coding RNA (217 nucleotides) under Hevea brasiliensis (rubber tree). Lineage: Eukaryota; Viridiplantae; Streptophyta; Magnoliopsida; Malpighiales; Euphorbiaceae. The record is from RNAcentral.
CGGCCCGCCAGCUCGUCGAUGGCGGGAAGCGCGAUCUUCCGUGCGAUCCUGAGGACCGCCCGCUCGUCGCCGCCAGCGCCGGCAGGAGCGCGAUCUUUGUCGUCGUGGUGGGACCACGUCGAGCCGGCCCCCGUCGACCCCAUCCUCGGCGUCACCGAGGCCUACCUCGCCGAUCCCAGCCCCAACAAAGUAAACGUCGGAGUUGGUGCUUAUCGCG